This is a long non-coding RNA of Cheilinus undulatus (humphead wrasse), 1332 nucleotides long. RefSeq lists it as uncharacterized. The record is from RefSeq and is a predicted model, not a curated record. The transcript is spliced from 3 exons. Lineage: Eukaryota; Metazoa; Chordata; Actinopteri; Labriformes; Labridae.
UCCAAACAGAUACACAGCACAGACCACGGCGGAGAAACUGUUUUGUAAAGGGGCUACAGCUUUUAAUCAAAGUCUGCCAUCAUGAUGCACCCUUUAAUCAUCGGCAUCAUGACCGUAAACACCUCACUGACCGUGGUGUACUGGAGCUUCCUGCUUGGUGAUGCCUACUUCAAAUGGCUGAUGGAGCCAGAGGACAAACCAAAGAAGGAGGUGACACCAGCCUGAGGGCAACAACGUGAACUGACUAUAUGAAUUUUCAUUAUUUUUGUUAUGUUUUUUUCUAGUCUAAUAGAGCAGCUUGGCUUGUAGUGUUUUUAGUGGAGUCUGUCCUUUCUGUUCCACCUGGAGAAAACCUGGAAACCUCAUUUGGAAAAUCCUGUACCAACAGGAUCUUGCAAGAGGACACAGGAGUCAUCAUUACAGAGCGAUCUGUAUGCAGCACACGCCAGUUUGGACGCCCUUUUACUCACAAGCCUAAAGAAGAAACCUGGCAAUCCGUUUCAAGCUUUGAUUACAAGACUGGAUCCUUGGCCCCAAAUCAAUGGAGGAUGAUUCAGAUGAAGACAGAGCAGAGACAGCAGAAGAGUGGAGACUGAGUGUUUCCAGUUUGCUGAUGGAGACAGAUAGGCUGGAGAUGGAGAUGGAGAAAGAUCAGCAGCUCCCUGGUCUUCAUUGGGGAGACGCCUCCCACUCUUUGUUUGCGUCUCCUCCACUGAGAAACACCAUCUCUCCAGCUCUCUCUGAAGAAAACAGUACAUCAUCUCAGAGCGUGACCUGCGCCUGCCCUUUGACCACUUAUGUAACGUCCCUUUGAGUUUGAAGCUGUUUUUGUCAUAAAUCUCUGUUGUUGUUGAUGUAGUCAUGCAUAACUAAUGCCUUUAUGAUCAACACUUACUGUAUUACAGUUUGCAUUUGUUCUAUUGAAAAUAUACACAAUGGGUCUAUAUUGUCAAUCAUUCAAAUUGAGUUGCAGUAAUUGUUACAAAUGUCUAAGGGCCUCAUUUAUGCAGCAUUUUUAGGAGUUCUGACUUUAAUCCUGUCCAUGAAGUCAAACACAGAGAGUGAAUACUAUACCACUGUAAAAAAAAAAAAAAAAAAAAAAAAGGUCAUGCUGUAAAUAUAUGUAUGUUCGGUUUUAAACUUAGAGUUGUUGAUUUAAUCUACAAAAAAACUAAUCAGUUUGGAUAAUUGACUACUUACUGAAUCUAAUAGGAUAAAUGUGUAACUUAAAAAUGAAUGAAAAGGUCAAAUCCCACAUGUUGAAGAAGAAAGGAUUUAAACCAGUUUCCUUUGUGUUGGACUGAGCUGAUUUCCAAUAAACAAUGGACUGAG